UACGGAGGGUGCAAGCGUUAUCCGGAUUCACUGGGUUUAAAGGGUGCGUAGGUGGGCAGGUAAGUCAGUGGUGAAAUCUCCGAGCGUAACUCGGAAACUGCCGUUGAUACUAUUUGUCUUGAAUAUUGUGGAGGUAAGCGGAAUAUGUCAUGUAGCGGUGAAAUGCUUAGAUAUGACAUAGAACACCAAUUGCGAAGGCAGCUUACUACACAACGAUUGACGCUGAGGCACGAAAGCGUGGGGAUCAAACAGG
This 253-nucleotide ribosomal RNA is filed under the name uncultured bacterium. RNAcentral describes it as "partial 16S ribosomal RNA". It matches the Rfam family "Bacterial small subunit ribosomal RNA", at positions 524 to 776 of the family's 1533-position model. The record is from RNAcentral.